UACGUAGGGUGCAAGCGUUAAUCGGAAUUACUGGGCGUAAAGCGUGCGCAGGCGGUUUUGUAAGGCUGUUGUGAAAUCCCCGGGCUUAACCUGGGAAUGGCAAUGGAGACUGCAAGGCUAGAGUUUGGCAGAGGGGGGUAGAAUUCCACGUGUAGCAGUGAAAUGCGUAGAGAUGUGGAGGAACACCGAUGGCGAAGGCAGCCCCCUGGGUCAAGACUGACGCUCAUGCACGAAAGCGUGGGGAGCAAACAGG
This 253-nucleotide ribosomal RNA is filed under the name uncultured bacterium. RNAcentral's name for it is "partial 16S ribosomal RNA". It matches the Rfam family "Bacterial small subunit ribosomal RNA", at positions 524 to 776 of the family's 1533-position model. The record is from RNAcentral.